Molecule: ribosomal RNA, 443 nt
Filed under: uncultured bacterium
Lineage: Bacteria
Description: partial 16S ribosomal RNA
Rfam family: Bacterial small subunit ribosomal RNA
Source: RNAcentral
GAUGAACGCUGGCGGCAUGCCUAACACAUGCAAGUCGAUCGGGAAGGCGCGUCGGAGUACACGGGAGGCGGACGGCUGAGUAACGCGUUGGAACAGACCGUGCAGUGAGGAAUAAGACAGCUAAAUGAGAUCUAAUACCGCAUACGGUCAUCGGAGGAAAGCGUUUGUGCGCUGAAGGAGUUGCGUGCGUCAUAUUAGAUAGUUGGUGAGGUAAUGGCACACCAAGUCGAUGAUGUGUAGCUGGUCUGAGAGGAUGAUCAGACAGACUGGAACUGAGACACGGCACAGACUCAUACGGGAGGCAGGAGUGAGGAAUAUCGCAAAAUGCGCGAGCGCUUGAUGGAGCAAUGCCGCGUGCAUGAUGAAGGCACUCGGGUUGUAAACUGCUUUUAUAAGAGAAGAUUAUGACGGUAACUGAUGAAUAAGCGACGGCUAACUACGUG